GCACCUUUUGUUGUUUCCUCGGCAGGUCCUCUGCCGCCAGGAACCCCCCAAACCCUUUUGCAACAGCAUCCAAACUUCUGAAAACAAACCAAAUCAUUUACAACUUUAACAAUGGAUCUCUUGGUUCUGGCAUCGAUGAAGAACGCAGCGAAAUGCGAUAAGUAGUGUGAAUUGCAGAAUUCAGUGAAUCAUCGAAUCUUUGAACGCACAUUGCGCCCCUUGGUAUUCCAUGGGGCAUGCCUGUUCGAGCGUCAUUUACCCCCUCAAGCUCCGCUUGGUGUUGGGCGUCUGUCCCGCUUCGCGCGCGGACUCGCCCCAAAGGUAUUGGCAGCGGUCGUGCCAGCUUCUCGCGCAGCACAUUGCGCUUCUCGAGGCACCGGUGGGCCCGCGUCCAUCAAGCUCACCCCCCCAGUUUGACCUCGGAUCAGGUAGGGAUACCCGCUGAACUUAAGCAUAUCAAUAAGCGGAGGA
Molecule: ribosomal RNA, 471 nt
Filed under: uncultured Pleosporales
Lineage: Eukaryota; Fungi; Ascomycota; Dothideomycetes; Pleosporales
Description: eukaryotic LSU rRNA
Rfam family: 5.8S ribosomal RNA (bases 102-254)
Source: RNAcentral